AUUCUGCAUGAAAUCUGGUAUGAUACUAUGCCUAAAUACCCCUGAAAAUGUAGGAAAAUCAUGUUCGGUCCAUAGUAGACCGUGAGGAUUGUGAGGGAAAUGUUCUCGCAUUCCACACUCCAUCCUGUGGACCGUCGAUCCACCAUGGAUCGAGGUACACCCCUAGGCUGUGCCUGCAUGUGCGCUCGCUGGCUGGGCCAGCCUGCGCAUGCUGGGCUAUGUGUGCGCCCACAUC
Molecule: long non-coding RNA, 235 nt
Filed under: Elaeis guineensis (African oil palm)
Lineage: Eukaryota; Viridiplantae; Streptophyta; Magnoliopsida; Arecales; Arecaceae
Description: long non-coding RNA (EGUI_LNC045512)
Source: RNAcentral